UACAGAGGGUGCUAGCGUUGUUCGGAAUCAUUGGGCGUAAAGGGCGUGUAGGCGGUUUGUUAAGUCAUGUGUGAAAGCCCCCGGCUCAACUGGGGAGGGUCAUUCGAUACUGAUCAACUUGAAGGCAGGAGAGAGAAGUGGAAUUCCCGGUGUAGUGGUGAAAUGCGUAGAUAUUGGGAAGAACACCUGAGGCGAAGGCGGGUUGCUGGGCUGAUACUGACGCUGAGGCGCGAAAGCCAGGGGAGCAAACGGG
RNAcentral lists this ribosomal RNA (253 nucleotides) under uncultured bacterium. Its description in RNAcentral is "partial 16S ribosomal RNA". It matches the Rfam family "Bacterial small subunit ribosomal RNA", at positions 524 to 776 of the family's 1533-position model. The record is from RNAcentral.